Molecule: ribosomal RNA, 710 nt
Filed under: uncultured marine alveolate
Lineage: Eukaryota
Description: SSU rRNA
Rfam family: Eukaryotic small subunit ribosomal RNA
Source: RNAcentral
GUUAAAAAGCUCGUAGUUGGAUUUCUGCGGUAGCAAGCCGGUCCACACUAUGUGUGAGUAUCUUGCUCGGCUACUGCAUCCUCUUGAGGAACGUGUUGCGCUUAGCUGCGUGAUGCGGUAUUCAAGACUUUUACUUUGAGGAAAUUAGAGUGUUCACGGCAGGCGUUUGCCCUGAAUAUAUUAGCAUGGAAUAAUGAUAUAGGAUCUCCGUCCUAUUUUGUUGGUUUCUAGGACGAGGAUAAUGAUUAAUAGGGAUAAUUGGGGGCAUUCGUAUUAAGACGUCAGAGGUGGAAUUCUUGGAUUGUCUUACGACGAACUACUGCGAAAGCAUUUGCCAAGGAUGUUUUCAUUGAUCAAGAACGAAAGUAAGGGGAUCGAAGACGCUCAGAUACCGUCGUAGUCUUUACCAUAAACUAUGCCAAUUAGAGAUUGGUGGUCGUUCUUUGUAUGACUCCAUCAGCACCUUAUGAGAAAUCAAAAUUUUUGGGUUCCGGGGGGAGUAUGGUCGCAAGGCUGGAACUUAAAGGAAUUGACGGAAGGGCACCACCAGGAGUGGAGCCUGCGGCUUAAUCUGACUCAACACGGGAAAACUCACCAGGUCCAGACAUAGUAAGGAUUGACAGAUUGAUAGCUUUUUCUUGAUUCUAUGGGUGGUGGUGCAUGGCCGUUCUUAGUUGGUGGAGUGAUUUGUCAGGUUAAUUCCGUUAACG